GAUGAACGCUGGCGGCGUGCCUAAUACAUACAAGUCGAGCGAACAGACGAGGAGCUUGCUCCUCUGACGUUAGCGGCGGACGGGUGAGUAACACGUGGAUAACCUACCUAUAAGACUGGGAUAACUUCGGGAAACCGGAGCUAAUACCGGAUAAUAUAUUGAACCGCAUGGUUCAAUAGUGAAAGACGGUUUUGCUGUCACUUAUAGAUGGAUCCGCGCCGCAUUAGCUAGUUGGUAAGGUAACGGCUUACCAAGGCGACGAUGCGUAGCCGACCUGAGAGGGUGAUCGGCCACACUGGAACUGAGACACGGUCCAGACUCCUACGGGAGGCAGCAGUAGGGAAUCUUCCGCAAUGGGCGAAAGCCUGACAGAGCAACGCCGCGUGAGUGAUGAAGGUCUUCGGAUCGUAAAACUCUGUUAUUAGGGAAGAACAAAUGUGUAAGUAACUAUGCACGUCUUGACGGUACCUAAUCAGAAAGCCACGGCUAACUACGUG
RNAcentral lists this ribosomal RNA (497 nucleotides) under uncultured bacterium. RNAcentral describes it as "partial 16S ribosomal RNA". It matches the Rfam family "Bacterial small subunit ribosomal RNA", at positions 28 to 507 of the family's 1533-position model. The record is from RNAcentral.